AACGCUAGCUACAGGCUUAACACAUGCAAGCCGAGCGGGCAGCAUGAACUUAGCUUGCUAAGUUUGAUGGCGACCGGCGCACGGGUGAGUAACACGUAUCCAACCUGCCGAUGACUCGGGGAUAGCCUUUCGAAAGAAAGAUUAAUACCCGAUGGCAUGGUUCUUCCGCAUGGUAGAACUAUUAAAGAAUUUCGGUCAUCGAUGGGGAUGCGUUCCAUUAGGUUGUUGGCGGGGUAACGGCCCACCAAGCCUUCGAUGGAUAGGGGUUCUGAGAGGAAGGUCCCCCACAUUGGAACUGAGACACGGUCCAAACUCCUACGGGAGGCAGCAGUGAGGAAUAUUGGUCAAUGGACGAGAGUCUGAACCAGCCAAGUAGCGUGAAGGAUGACUGCCCUAUGGGUUGUAAACUUCUUUUAUACGGGAAUAAAGUGAGGCACGCGUGCCUUUUUGUAUGUACCGUAUGAAUAAGGAUCGGCUAACUCCGUGCCAGCAGCCGCGGUAAUACGGAGGAUGCGAGCGUUAUCCGGAUUUAUUGGGUUUAAAGGGAGCGUAGACGGGAGAUUAAGUCAGUUGUGAAAGGCUGCGGCUCAACCGCAGCACUGCAGUUGAUACUGGUUUCCUUGAGUUCGGUUGAGGUGUAUGGAAUUCGUGGUGUAGCGGUGAAAUGCUUAGAUAUCACGAAGAACUCCGAUUG
This 694-nucleotide ribosomal RNA is filed under the name uncultured Bacteroidales bacterium. Its description in RNAcentral is "bacterial SSU rRNA". It matches the Rfam family "Bacterial small subunit ribosomal RNA", at positions 32 to 715 of the family's 1533-position model. The record is from RNAcentral. Lineage: Bacteria; Pseudomonadati; Bacteroidota; Bacteroidia; Bacteroidales.